GGGAAAGCCCAGCCCCAGUGGUACAGUGCUCACCUGGAGCUCACUGCAGUGCCUGAUGGAGGUUUGUGGCUCUGAGAUGAAGGCGUGCUGCUCAGGUGAAAUGCCCUGUGAUGUGUGAAGAUCUCAGCUACACCUCAGAUCAAAGGCAGGGGAAGAGGGAAUGCAUAGAAUAAGCGAUCCCUGCAGUGACGGCACACCAGCUUUCCUUUGGAAGCUUCCUCCUAUGGAGUGACCUUUCCUUUUUAUCCACAGUCCUGGCUCCCGACCUGAUUCUGUACUGCUCAGUACCUCCUGUGGGCGCUGACAUCUGAGCAUGGCAAAGUGCUGCUGUUCCACUUUCUCUGCC
Molecule: long non-coding RNA, 346 nt
Filed under: Gallus gallus (chicken)
Lineage: Eukaryota; Metazoa; Chordata; Aves; Galliformes; Phasianidae
Source: RNAcentral